GAUGAACGCUGGCGGCGUGCCUAAUACAUGCAAGUCGAGCGAACUGAUUAGAAGCUUGCUUCUAUGACGUUAGCGGCGGACGGGUGAGUAACACGUGGGCAACCUGCCUGUAAGACUGGGAUAACUUCGGGAAACCGAAGCUAAUACCGGAUAGGAUCUUCUCCUUCAUGGGAGAUGAUUGAAAGAUGGUUUCGGCUAUCACUUACAGAUGGGCCCGCGGUGCAUUAGCUAGUUGGUGAGGUAACGGCUCACCAAGGCAACGAUGCAUAGCCGACCGGAGAGGGUGAUCGGCCACACGGGGACUGAGACACGGCCCAGACGCCUACGGGAGGCAGCAGUAGGGAAUCUUCCGCAAUGGACGAAAGUCUGACGGAGCAACGCCGCGUGAGUGAUGAAGGCUUUCGGGUCGUAAAACUCUGUUGUUAGGGAAGAACAAGUACAAGAGUAACUGCUUGUACCUUGACGGUACCUAACCAGAAAGCCACGGCUAACUACGUGCCAGCCGCCGCCGUAA
This 514-nucleotide ribosomal RNA is filed under the name uncultured bacterium. RNAcentral describes it as "partial 16S ribosomal RNA". It matches the Rfam family "Bacterial small subunit ribosomal RNA", at positions 28 to 523 of the family's 1533-position model. The record is from RNAcentral.